This is a long non-coding RNA of Polyodon spathula (Mississippi paddlefish), 665 nucleotides long. RefSeq lists it as uncharacterized. NCBI's taxonomy places the organism in Eukaryota, Metazoa, Chordata, Actinopteri, Acipenseriformes, Polyodontidae. The transcript is spliced from 3 exons. The record is from RefSeq and is a predicted model, not a curated record.
UCAAUGUGGUGUGCGUUGUGUGUUGCGUUUGUGGGAUGAUGUUGAAUUUUUUUACAGUUUAAGUAUUGACAAGUGUUAAUUAAUAUUGUUUCAUUAAAUUUUACUUUGUCUGGUUUGUAUCUUGUCAUCUGUUAUCAUGAUGCCCGGGGAGACUCACUCUCAAACAGCGGGAAUCGCUUUGGACGCAACGAUAGGAAUUUGUCAGAACUGUACUGCAUUACAGCAGAAUUUAAACGAAUAUGUAGCUGCAAUACUAGCACUGAAGCAAAAGAUAAUUGACACAGAUCACCUGUUAACCGAGUACCAGCGGAAGUGUGAUGAUAUCCUUUCUGAAAUCUGUUAAUAUUAGUUUAAGAAAUAAUAUGUAGAGGAUAUUGAGUGAUCAUUCAUGUUAUAUGGUUUUUAUUUGCCGCAGGAGGAUGUCACAGUAAAUCGCAAGCUCUGACAGGCGAGUGGUUUGUAAUAUUCUGUUUAUAUCACAAGUAUAUUUGUUUUUGAUAGCCUAAAGUUCAUUGUAAUUGUAGCUCAUGCUGCACAGUGUUGUGCAUUUGAUGAGUACAUAUUUAUCAGCAAACUCCACCAGUGAGUGCUUAAGAAUAAAAAAAAAAAUUCCCAACUAAAACCAGUACUGCAUAGAGUAUUUUCAUUUGCAUUUUAAAUUAAAA